UACGGAGGAUCCGAGCGUUAUCCGGAUUUAUUGGGUUUAAAGGGAGCGUAGGUGGAUUGUUAAGUCAGUUGUGAAAGUUUGCGGCUCAACCGUAAAAUUGCAGUUGAAACUGGCAGUCUUGAGUACAGUAGAGGUGGGCGGAAUUCGUGGUGUAGCGGUGAAAUGCUUAGAUAUCACGAAGAACUCCGAUUGCGAAGGCAGCUCACUGGACUGCAACUGACACUGAGGCUCGAAAGUGUGGGUCUCAAACAGG
Molecule: ribosomal RNA, 253 nt
Filed under: uncultured bacterium
Lineage: Bacteria
Description: partial 16S ribosomal RNA
Rfam family: Bacterial small subunit ribosomal RNA
Source: RNAcentral